UACGUAGGGUGCGAGCGUUAAUCGGAAUUACUGGGCGUAAAGCGUGCGCAGGCGGUUCGUCGUGUCCGAUGUGAAAGCCCCGGGCUCAACCUGGGAACCGCGCUUGAGACUGGCACGCUCGAGUUCGGGAGAGGAUGGUGGAAUUCCCAGUGUAGAGGUGAAAUUCGUAGAUAUUGGGAAGAACACCGAUGGCGAAGGCAGCCAUCUGGACCGACACUGACGCUGAGGCGCGAAAGCGUGGGGAGCAAACAGG
RNAcentral lists this ribosomal RNA (253 nucleotides) under uncultured bacterium. Its description in RNAcentral is "partial 16S ribosomal RNA". It matches the Rfam family "Bacterial small subunit ribosomal RNA", at positions 524 to 776 of the family's 1533-position model. The record is from RNAcentral.